CCUUGGGAGGGAGCUGUCGAAGGUGGGAUCGGCGAUUGGGACGAAGUCGUAACAAGGUAGCCGUACCGGAAGGUGCGGCUGGAUCACCUCCUUUCU
Molecule: ribosomal RNA, 96 nt
Filed under: Mycobacterium scrofulaceum
Lineage: Bacteria; Bacillati; Actinomycetota; Actinomycetes; Mycobacteriales; Mycobacteriaceae
Description: partial 16S ribosomal RNA
Rfam family: Bacterial small subunit ribosomal RNA
Source: RNAcentral